UACGGAGGGGGCUAGCGUUGUUCGGAAUUACUGGGCGUAAAGCGCACGUAGGCGGCUUUGUAAGUUAGAGGUGAAAGCCCGGGGCUCAACUCCGGAAUUGCCUUUAAGACUGCAUCGCUAGAAUUGUGGAGAGGUAAGUGGAAUUCCGAGUGUAGAGGUGAAAUUCGUAGAUAUUCGCAAGAACACCAGUGGCGAAGGCGGCUCACUGGCCCGAUACUGACGCUGAGGUGCGAAAGUGUGGGGAGCGAACAGG
Molecule: ribosomal RNA, 253 nt
Filed under: uncultured bacterium
Lineage: Bacteria
Description: partial 16S ribosomal RNA
Rfam family: Bacterial small subunit ribosomal RNA
Source: RNAcentral